GGCAGUAUAGUGCAUCGAAGCACGCGGGAUUACUUUGUACGAGGCUUGCACUCCGAUUGAUUCCGAAGUCCUUGUUCGAAUCAAGGUACUGCUU
Molecule: non-coding RNA, 94 nt
Organism: Mycena polygramma
Lineage: Eukaryota; Fungi; Basidiomycota; Agaricomycetes; Agaricales; Mycenaceae
Source: the annotation of a GenBank genome assembly